UGGGGAAUAUUGGACAAUGGGCGCAAGCCUGAUCCAGCCAUGCCGCGUGAGUGAUGAAGGCCUUAGGGUUGUAAUGCUCUUUUGGCGGGGACGAUAAUGACGGUACCCGCAGAAUAAGCCCCGGCUAACUUCGUGCCAGCAGCCGCGGUAAUACGAAGGGGGCUAGCGUUGUUCGGAUUUACUGGGCGUAAAGCGCGUGUAGGCGGGUCGUUAAGUUGGGGGUGAAAUCCCGAGGCUCAACCUCGGAACUGCCUUCAAAACUGGCGACCUGGACCUAAGUAGAGGCAAGUGGAAUUGCGAGUGUAGAGGUGAAAUUCGUAGAUAUUCGCAGGAACACCAGUGGCGAAGGCGGCCAACUGGCUCGAUACUGACGCUGAGGUGCGAAAAGCGUGGGGGAGCAAACAGGAUUAGAUACCCCGGUAGUCCCUGAGCGGGCUGGCAAGGCGCAU
Molecule: ribosomal RNA, 449 nt
Filed under: uncultured bacterium
Lineage: Bacteria
Description: bacterial SSU rRNA
Rfam family: Bacterial small subunit ribosomal RNA
Source: RNAcentral